CUUGCCCGAGGAAGAAGGAGCGCAGGUAUGGUUUCUAUUCAGCUGGACCUCUUUGCUUCCAUACCAUUUUGUUAUGAUUUCUGGGUUUGCUAGUUUGUCUUCCUUUUAUUUAUCCUGAUGUAUGAAUGCAAGCAUUGUGGAUUUUAUUAUGUUCUUGGAUGUUCUCGGAUGUUUUGAGCCAGCAUGCCUUCAUUUUAUGGUUGAUUUUUAGCUUGGUUUUCAGUAUAUUUUCGGGGUUCUAUUUUGGCACUCAUGCUCUUGGAGAUGAAAAUCUCUGGUCCAGAAGCUCUCUACCAGCUUAUAUCAUGGAUGCCCCAGCAUCAGGCCACUGUUCAUCUGAACUGUUUUGGACCAUUUCUUGCAGAGAACGAUCCGAAAAGAAGUUGAGCUUGCUGCUGGUAUUCCCUGAUUGUACGCGAGGCUCGCAUGCAUGGCCACAUGAAGCAUUACACCUCCCACCUCCUCCAUCAUCCUCACCCAUUUUCUCUCCAAACUCUCCACCCCUUUCAUGUCUACCAGUCACCAUGCAUGCAAAACUAGACGUGGAAGCCAAGAUAGUUGAGCCGGGGAUGAAUGUUGGUCGCGAAGGCUACACAAAUGGCGGAGCUCCAAACGGUACGCGCCAAUGACGGCCACGCGUGGCCCCCGCGACGCCGGCGAUGGUGGCAUCCUCCUCACGGACGGCGGGUGCAGUGUCUUCUGAACUGCCGCCAGCACUCACGCCGCAGGUCUCCAUGCCGACGACGUCGGGACGAUCCCAACUUUGGUGGCCGCGGCGUCCAUGAUGGAUGUUCCUAGAUGGAAGGUGGCACCCAGGCGUAGAGGCAAAUUUUGUUAGAGAUUAAAGACCUGGGCUUCAUGAUAGUGGGUUUGGGCUUGGAUGAAAUCCAAGCCCAAUCUGAUGGUGAAUAAGUUUGGGUAUUCUUAUUGGUAGACGUGGGCUUGAGAUGAAGCCCAAGUCUAAGCUUGAUAUGAUGAGAGGUCCCUUGACUUGUCCAUCCACCUUAAGAUUGGCCCAUACCCAUUCAAAAGCCCCAGACCCAUUUCCAACCCUCAACAUUUUUUUUAAAGCCCAAAGCCCGUCCCAAAGUCCAUUUCCAACCCUUAAUAUUAUCUACUAUUAUUGUUAUUAUUAACUAUUAUUAUUAUUAUUAUUAUUAUUAUUAUUAUUAUUAUUAUUAUUAUUAUUAUUAUUAUUAUUAUUAUCAUUGUCAUUAUUAUUAUUAAUUCAAUUUUCCAAAUCUUAUUGUUGUUAUUAUUAUUAUUAUUAUUAAUCCAACUUUCAAAAUCUAGCUAUUAUUAUUGUUAUUAAUUCAACUUUCAAAAUCUUAUUAUUAUGAUUAUUAUUAUUAUUAUUAUUAUUAUUAUUAUUGUAAUUGUUAUCUUUAAUUCAACUUUUUUAAAAUAUCAUUAUCAUUAUUAUUAUUAAUUCAACUUUCAAAAUCGUGUUAUCAUUAUUAUUAUUAUUAUUAUUAUUAUUAUUAUUAUCAUUACUAUUUCAAAAUCUUAUUGUUAUUAUUAUCAUUAUUAUCACCCUAGGCCCUUUUAAUCCCAAAGCCCAAUUUGUUUCUAAUGCCCCAAGCCCAUUUCCAUAGCCUUUCUCACCAUGCACCACCCAGUCGCCCCAAGCCCACGAGCAAUCCUUGAGGUUCCUUCAACCUAAGCCCAUCCCUAAAGGCCCCAAUUCACGUAGCCUCUAUCCUGAACCCAUCUUCAAAGCCCAUUAUUUCUCCUUAUCAUUUCGUUCCCAUGCAUAUUCGUACCACGUUAUUCAUUUGUAUAUCUAUUCAUUCAUUCCAAUUUCCCAUUCUUAUCAUCAAGGUUUAAUCCUCCAUUAUUAUUUGCUUAUUUAUUUCUGAAAAUUCGAACUUUAAAUUUUAUCACUGUCAUUAUCGUCUUAUUCAUUUAUUUAUUCGUUUUUCUACAAAAAUUCAAUCUUUAAAAUGACACUUCAAAAUUCUAAUCUUUAAAAAUUUAACUUCAAUUUCCGAAAAUUCCUGUAUCCUCAUUAAUUUAUUUAAUCAUUAGUAUUCUAUUUAUUUAUUUUAAAAUUCCAUUUCGAAUCAAUUCUUAAAAACUUUUGAUUGCCGCAUUUAAUCUCCUAAUCCCGAAAAUUCCCAUACUCAUCUCAAUGUAUUUAAUCACUAAUAUUUCAUUCAUUUAUUUUAAAACUCCAUUUCAAAUCAAUUCUUUAAAACUUCCAAUUUCAAAAAAAUUCACAUUUACUUAUUUAAUUAUUACUUUCGUUCCAUUUUAAACAAUUCAUUAAAAUUUUGACUUCCAAUUUUAGUUUCUAAUUCCAAAAAUUCUAACAUUCACUUUAAUCUAUUUAAUUAUUAUUAUUUUAUUUAUUCUAAAAUUCUAUUUUAAACAAUUCAUUAAAAUUUCCACUUUCGAUUUUAAUUUCUAUAUCCAAAAAUUCCAAGAUUCGCAUUAAUUUAUUUAAUUAUUAUUAUUUUAUUUAUUUAUUCUAAAAUUCCAUUUUAAACAAUUCAUUAAAAUUUCCGACUUCUGAUUUUAAUUUCUAUGUCCAAAAAUUCCAAUAUUCACAUUAAUCUAUUUAAUUACUAUUAUUUUAUUCGUUUAUUCCAAAACUCCAUUGUAACUCAAAUUCUUUAAAACUUCUGAUUUCUGAAUUAAAUUUCUAAUCCCGAAAAUUCCUGUAUUCCCAAUAAUUUAUUUAAUUAUUAGUAUUUCAUUUAUCUAUUUAUUUCUUUUGAAUCAAAUUCUUUAAAACUUCAUAUUUAAAAAUUAAUUUUUUAAUCUUGAAAAUUUCCAUAUUCAUAUUAAUUUAUUUAAUCCUAAUAGUUUAUUUAUUUAUUUUAAAAUUCUAUUUUUAAACAAUUCUUUAAAAUUUUCAACUUCUGAAUUUAAUUUCCAAUUUCUAAAAUUCUAAUCCCUUCCAAAUUUGACAUCCAAAAAUUCCGAUUCUUAAAUUUAAUUCUGAACACUCCAAUUUUAAAAUAAACUCCAAGAAAAUCCAGUAUUCACUCGAAUAGUUUUUGUUCCAUUUCGAUUCUUAAAUAAAUUUCUGAUCUUCUUGAUUCUACAUAAGCAAAAAUGAAUUCUUCACAAAUCCAAAACACAAAAUUUAUAAGACUAAUUCAUGAACAAUAAACUGGGCUUUGUUGGGGGCCCUAUGUUUGAUCCCUUUUGACUGUCAAUUGUCGUGCUUAAUAUAUUUUGCUUGAUCUUCAUUUUGCACUCCGAUAUGCAUGAGCUAUAAUUUGUAUUCAUUAAUUGUGUACUAAUCUCAUUUCUUGAUAGCGCAUUGUGGCUCGUGGCCCAGGUACGCAUGCACCCUCAUUCUGAUACUUUACUAUACAUGUUUUGAUUCUCAUAUGUGCAUGAUCAUUCAGGAUAUUCAUUGAUUUACUCGUCAAUUGCCACAUCAGUUUCAUUUUACCAGUAGAGACCCGACUUAAGGGACUUAGAAGGGUGCUACGGUUUUUUUUUUUACCGUACCUUCCUGAUAAGUAACCUGACCCCCGAACCCGAUCCGGUUUUUCGCAAACCGUCUUUCCAAAACAAGGAGUCACACUUAGGGUUUUUCUUUCUUAUUUUGUUUACCCUUUAAAAAUAAAACAAAAAUAAGUGGCGACUCCAAGUCAUUUUUCUUAAUCAAUAAAAAUCAAUUUUUCAAAUUAAAAAUCGAGUUCGCCAUCGAGUGGGAAACGCAUUGAGCCGACAUGCGGGGUCCACAAAAUGACGACUCCACUGGGGAUUUUUAGAGGGUCAAGCUUGAACUUAAAGUGAAGCAAAUAUGGCGUUUGGUGAGUCGAUCAGUGGAUACUCAUCUCUUGAUUGCACAUUGAGAGUUCCCGAGUUUUCACUUGGGACAUUGGCAUGUUGAUCAUGUUAAUUGAUUAUUUUGAUUGGGGAUUCUGAUAUAGCUAGUUUCUUCAUGCUUCAUUGAUAUAUUUGUUUGAGAUAUUUGACAUGCUGAUUAUGUUGACUGAUUUGUCUUGAUUGAGGUUUCCAAUACCAUGAUUUUAUGUGCUUCAUUGAUAUUUUCGUUUGAGACAUAGACAUGUUGGAUUGUUGUUGAUUAAUCAUCUUAUAUUGCUUAGCACAUUGACUCCGAUUCUUGCCAUGAUUGUCCUGAUCACCUCACAUGCAUACACUCACCACUGUAUAUCAUUUGGUUGGACAUGUUGAUUCAUUUGCUUAUAUAUUCUCUUGAUCGUCUUUGAGUAGGAUAUUUAUAUCACUUUUUCAUCUGAUUGUCAUAGCUUGUAUGUGUGCAUGAGUGAUAUAUCUUGUACUCUACCUGACUGCAUGUCGCAUGACUACCUUUCCUCUACUUGAUUGCAUGUCGCGUGUUCAUGUGGGCCGCACUUCUAUCCCCUUACCUCCAAAUCUCUUGGUUUCGGUCAUUCCCUUCAUUCUGGUUCUCACUUUUGCAAGUGUGAGACCUUCUGUGUGUUCGCUUUCUAACCGAGCCAGAGAUUAGGAGUAGGGUCUAGCGAAGGGCUAUAUCAAUGCACGGGAGCAUUCUGGAGGAGAGCGACACUUUGAUGUCGAUUGGAGUCCGAUCAUUGAAGACCUAUAUAGCCCUGAGCUAGGUUCCAUGGAUAGUCAUGUGACCAGUGUGUUUCCUCUUCUGGUCUAGAUUCUUAGGGUUUUCGGAUGCACCCACACCAUUCACUGUGCACUCUAGUCGACCAUUGAGCGUUGAGAGUUUGAGAGGUUUCACCAUAGGAAACCCCCUGGGAUGUCGAGGUAGUGCAUGUGUGGAGGUGAUGCCCACCUUGCAUGGAAGCGCCCCGUCUCUUCGGAGGCGUGCAGAGGGUUGCGUACCACCGGAGGGUACGAUCGCUUCUGUUAGGGAUCUUUUAAAGUCCACCUAUCUCCUUUUAGAGCCACCUUGACCUUAUAGUUUGAGCCUUAGACAUUUCAAUUAGAAUUUUCCCUUCCCGAACACGCGGGUGCAUCCGUGGGCCUUCAGAGUCGGUUCAGUAGUGACAGGUUUAGUUACCUUCGCAGUAGUCUCUUAUAUAUCUGCUCAGGAUUGGAUAUCAGUUUGGUUGCUUCCGGGCUACUUUUCGACACAUUUGAUAGACAUGCUUUGUGAGGUUUCCCUUACCCCGUAUCUUAUCUAGUAUUUCCACUAUUGUAGGAGUAUCGAUACGUUCAGUCUGGGUUUGACUUCUUGGGUCAGAGUUGAGGGUAGAUUGAUCAGGGUAUCGGACCAGUCAGACUAGAGAUCAGAUCAGAGAGAUAUGGAUUCAUAGAUAGUUACCGUCGAUCAGUUUGGUGAGGCCAUGGCUUCGAUUCAGGAAGCUAUAGCUAGCCUCGGUCGGAGGAUAGAUGGGCAGCAGGUCCCGUCCUAGGAUGGUGCCCAGUAUGACCCUACAAAGCCACCACCUCCUCCACCCAGUCAGUCAGCGCCACAGGCCAUGCCGUUCACUCUGCAUAGUCAGACCGGGGUUGCCUCGCCUCCCAUCACCGUGCCCACCCCGACCUCAGAGGACCCACAUGCUCGCAUGGAUAGGCUUGAGCAGGGUUUGAGACAGUUGAGGACUUCAGACAGAGCCACUACUUGGGAGGGUUUUGAUGGAGUGCCGGUAGCCAGCUUGCCGUCUAAGUUUAGGAUGCCUAACAUUGAGAGGUAUACUGGCAUUGGUUGUCCACGCCUCCAUCUCCGAUUAUACAGCACCGUGAUGAGGGCUCAUGGACUGGACGAGCCUCAGAUGAUUACUCUUUUCCCACUAUCUUUAAGUGGGGUGGCCCAACGUUGGUUUGCAUCUCUGGAGGCCUCGAGACGCCGCACAUGGGACGACUUGGCCCAGGAGUUCCUACGACAGUUUUCGUUUAACACUGUCGUAGAUGUAUCGAGGAGGGAGCUCGAAGCUUUGAGACAGAGGGCGGAGGAGUCUGUUUCUUCUUUCAUUUCCCGCUGGCGCGGGAAGAUAGCUGAGAUUAUCGAUAGACCAUCAGAGAGGGACCAGAUUCAGAUGGUUUUGAGGAGCCUGCAGUCGCGGAUCGCCAAACAUGUGGUAGGGGCCCCGUUCACAGAUUUUGGGUCUCUGGUUAUGGCUCUGUAUGAUGUCGAGGACGGCAUCUCGAGAGGUUUAUGGACAGAUUCUUCCCCUAGUGAUGUUAAGGGGAAGAAACCAUUCGUAGGACCGAGGCCAGCAGAUGUGAGCGCUAUCAGUUCUUCCAGUCAAAGGCCUCUCAGGCGCCAUCAGCCGAUCUCAUAGUUUUUCGAGCCUCAUUCGUCCUAUGCAUCUCCUCAGUACAGGCCACAGACACCUUGUCCAGCUGACGAUCAGACGUACAUGUCACAGACAUUGGUUUUACCUCCUUGUGCCACUCAAGGCAUUGAGAGACCUGCGGUCUCCUACACGGCCGUAGGGCAGCCAUGCUACGCUGCUCAGUUCACCGCGAGACCUGCGGCGCCUUAUCCUCGACCUGGAGCUCAGCAGGCCUCUACUCCCUUUGCUUUGAGGACGUAGAGACAGUUCUCACAGAUAGGCGUGCCGUUGAGCCAGGCUCUUCAGAAGCUCACAGAGGCCGGUUUGUUGACUGCACUCACUCCGAGACCGCCCCCUCAGCCUCUACCUCCUCACUUCAGGACAAAUUUGUGUUGUGCCUAUCAUCAGGGGUCAGGACAUGAGACUGAUCAAUGCACCGCGCUGAGGCACGCCAUCCAGGACUUGAUUGAUCAGGGUUUGGUUCACUUGGGUCAGCCAAGUGUAACCCAAAACCCACUACCGGCCCAUACCACGCAUGCAGUUCCUCCACCAGACGGAGGUAUUCAUUUCUUGGAUUUUGUUGAUUCUGAUGACCAUGUCUGCACGAUGAGCUGGGACGACAUGGAUCCAGAGCCCAUAGAGUUGGAUGAUAUUUAUGAGAUGAGCAGCAUGUCUUUGGGGCCUCAGGUGCCCACUCACUUCAGAUUAUUUCCUGAGACAGCCUCAGUACAUGCGUCCAUUGUCGAGCCUCCGACUUCCACGCGCUAUAGUGUUCAGACGCCGUUCGUUUUAGUCCCAGAUGUUGAGGAGUUUCAGGCUCCACACAGGGAUGAUCCUCAGACUCCAGACGUUCAGUAUAUCCUCCGGGGAGGGAGAGUAUUGAGACAGCCACCUCUAACCGCUGCCGUUAGACCCUUAGGGGGUACGUCAUCCCAGGAGGAGGUCAGAGCAGAGGAUGACGAGAUUUUGAGGCAAUUGCAGAGCACUCAGGCUCGUAUUUCUAUCUGGAGCCUCUUAACGUCAUUUAGUACUCAUCGGGAUGCACUGACUCGAGCUUUGAGCCAGAUCAGAGUUGAUACCACGACCACUCCCGAGGGACUCAUUCAUAUGAUGACGGCUAGCAGAGCCACUUGUAUCGUCUUUUCCGAUGACGACUUGUCGCUAGAGGGUUCAGACCACACACGUCCUCUUUAUGUAUCUGUUGGCUGUUCAGGUCGUCGAGUUCCAUCUGUCCUUCUGGACAAUGGCUCGGCCCUGAACGUAUGUCCUCUGGCCACCGCCAUCACUCUUGGGUACGCACCAUCCAAUUUCGGUCCAUCCACUCAGACCGUUCAAGCUUAUGACAGCACCCGUAGAGAGGUCAUGGGUACACUGGAGAUUGAGCUCCUGAUAGGUCCUACCACAUUUAUCACUAUCUUUCAGGUUUUGAGGAUUCCUACAUCCUUUAACCUACUUUUGGGCCGACCGUGGAUUCACCGAGCUGGAGUCAUUCCUUCUUCACUUCAUCAGAAAGUGAAGUUCAUCCAUGAGGGCCAGGUAGUCGCCGUACAGUCGGCAGGGGACAUGUUCAUUUCCGCUGAGCCCAUGCUCCAGAUCAGCCAUAGCGACGACGACUUACUGCUGACCGGGUUCACUUUUGAUGAGGUACAGACUCUUGAGCUAGAGGACUUUUGCCGAGACUUCGUCGCUAUGUCCUUUGACCAGCAUGGCAGCACUGUAGUGCUUGAUAUGAUGAGAGACAUGUCCUAUCUUCCUGGCAUGGGAUUGGGUCGACGUCAGCAUGGACCGAGCGAGUUCAUCACCAUUCCUGAUCAUGACGUACCAUUCGGACUCGGGUUCAUCCCCAUUGAGGCCGAUUAUCUCUAUAUGGCGCGCUUGCGCAAGGAGAGAGUGAGGGCUCGGCUGACUCAUAUGUCUUUCUAUUAUCCUGUGCGCCCGUACACUAGGAGCCUAGCAGAUUACUUUGUGAGAGCAUCGGAGCCGCAUGCAUCAUCCGAUGGGAUCAUCAGAGGACUUAGCACCACCCAGGAGGUCGAGCUUCAGCGCCUCGUCCAGUAGUUACGAUUGAGAGACGGAGCCCCUGGCCCUUCGACUUCUGCGUUGAUCGCUCAUUCCUCUCCAGAUCGCACUAGCCUUAUGACGCUUUGCUUCCCGGACGAGACCGAUGAGCAUGGGACCUUUGCUGUGGUCGGGGACAUAGUAGACGGAGUCGCCCCACAUGACGAGUACAUCGACGAGAUGCUCGCCCUGAGCCUGAGCCAGAUUGAGGAGACUAUUUAGCCUGGGCUUGCUUCAUCAUUUGAUCUCUUCGGGGUAUUCACCAUUGAGCUUGCCAAGGAGAGCUUGACUGCCCCUGCUCUGGAGUCUGCUGAGGACCUUAUAGCUUUUGAUGAUUUGAUUGAUAGCCAUGUUGGCAUUGUUGAGGGAGCGUCCGACUUUGUGGACCCACCUCUUUCAUUUGACGUUCUGUCGGGGUUCGUCUCCCGUUCUGACGUUGUUUUCGAUGAUCCAUCUAUUGAUUUGAGCAUGUUUGAGUAUUUGCCUGCGUCUCGUGAUAUUGCUUUACUUAUACCAUCUUCACCCACAUCACAGAUAUUUGACAUAGAUGAUGAUAUUGCACAGCAUGAUUCAGAUGAUGACUCAUCUCCCGAUUCCGAUUCAGACCCCGUUGGAUUUGUCUACAAAUGAGAGAGAUAGCCUCAUCCAUCUGCUCAGAUCUUACUUGGAUGUUUUCGCAUGGUCCUAUGAGGACAUGCCAGGCCUUGAUCCAUCUAUCGUCCAGCAUCGUUUGCCACUUCUACCCCAUGCUAGACCGGUUAAGCAGAAGUUGAGACUAUUGCACCCUCGUUGGAGCUUGCAGGUGAAAGAAGAGAUCCAGAAGCAGCUCAGUGUAGGAUUCUUAUCAGUGGUCGAGUACCCGGAGUGGCUGGCCAAUGUCGCCUCUGUUCCCAAAAAGGACGGCAAGGUGAGAGUCUGCGUUGAUUUUCGAGAUCUCAACAAGGCCAGUCCUAAGGAUGAUUUUCCUCUUCCACACAUCGACAUGCUAGUUGACAAUACGGCAGGUCAUUCGAUGUUGUCUUUUAUGGACGGAUUUUUCGGGUACAGUUAGAUCUUGAUGGCUCUAGAUGACAUGGAGAAGACGUCCUUCAUUACCGAGUGGGGCACUUAUUGCUACAGAGUCAUGCCAUUCGAAUUGAAGAACGUAGGAGCCACCUAUCAGAGAGCGGCGACCACCCUUUUCCAUGACAUGAUGCAUCAGGAUGUCGAGGUUUAUGUAGACGACAUGAUAGUGAAAUCCCGAGGCAGACCAGAUCACUUGGCAGCUCUGGAGAGGUUCUUUGAGAGGAUCCGACAGUUCAGAUUGAGGUUGAAUCCUAAGAAGUGCACUUUCGGAGUGACUUCUGGGAAACUCUUAGGAUAUAUGGUCAGUGAGCGAGGCAUAGAGGUAGAUCCAGAUAAGAUCAGAGCCAUCCUGGGCAUGCCUGCACCGAGGACAGAGAAAGAGGUUAGAGGCUUCUUAGGUAGACUUCAGUACAUCAGCAGAUUCAUCGCUAGAUUGACAGACAUCUGUAAGCCCAUUUUUCGACUCUUGAGGAAGAGUCAACCUACUAUUUGGGAUGAUCAGUGUCAGCGCGCAUUCGAGAGGAUCCGAGAGUACUUGUUGUCACCCCUAGUCUUGGCGCCUCCUACACCAGGCCGUCCUUUACUCCUAUAUCUAUCAGUUUCUGAUGUGGCGUUGGGGUGCAUGUUGGCUCAGCUUGAUGAUUCGGGCAAGGAUCAGGCCAUUUAUUAUCUGAGUAAGAGGAUGCUAGACUACGAGACGAGAUAUGUUAUGAUCGAGCGCUAUUGCUUGGCUUUGGUUUGGGCCACUCGCCGACUGAGACAUUACAUGACCGAGUAUUCAGUGCACUUGAUAUCCCGUCUAGAUCCUUUGAGAUAUUUGUUUGAUAGGCCUGCCCUGGUCGGUCGCCUCAUGAGAUGGUUGGUACUUCUGACUGAGUUUGACAUUCAUUAUGUCACUCAGAAGUCUAUCAGAGGUAGCAUUGUCGCGGAUCAUCUAGCUUCUUUACCGGUUUUCGAUGGCAGGGCCAUUGAUGACGACUUCCCGGACGAGGAUGUCGCUACUGUGACUAGUCUGUCAGGUUGGCACAUGUACUUUGAUGGUGCGGCCAACCAUUCUGGAUACGGGAUAAGCGUCCUGUUGAUAUCCCCUCAUGGUGAUCACAUUCCCAGAUCUAUUCGUUUGGCAUUCUCGGAUCGACAUCUUGCCACGAACAACAUUGUUGAGUAUGAGGCUUGUAUCUUGGGAUUAGAGACAGCCCUCGAGCUCGGGAUUAGACAGAUGGAGGUGUUUGGUGACUCCAAUCUGGUGUUGAGACAGAUUCAGGGCGAGUGGAAGACUAGAGAUGGGAAGCUUAGACCUUAUCAAGCAUAUUUGGCGCUAUUGGUCGCGAGAUUCGAGGAUUUGAGAUACACACAUCUGCCUAGAGUGCGGAACCAGUUUGCUGAUGCCUUAGCUACUCUAGCUUCCAUGAUUGACAUUCCUGCUGAUGCCACUGUUCGUCCAUUGUUGAUCGAGUCGAGAUCUGCUCCUACUUACUGUUGUCUGAUCGAUAAUGUAGAGCCAGAUGAUGGUUUGCCAUGGUAUCACGACAUAUAUCACUUUUUGAGGCUUGGCGUAUAUCCUGAGGCCACUACGACCAAGGAUAGGAGAGCAUUGAGACAGUUAGUCGCCCGAUUCGUGAUUUGCGGCGAGACACUAUAUAAACGAUCACCUGAUGGGAUGCUGCUAUUGUGUUUGGACCACGCCUCUGCCGAUAGAGUGAUGCGAGAGGUUCAUGCGGGAGUAUGCGGACCACAUAUGGGAGGACAUAUGUUGGCCCGUAAGAUCAUGAGGACCGGCUACUUCUAGUUGACCAUGGAGACGGAUUGCUGCCAGUUCGUUCAGAGAUGUCCCGAGUGUCAGAUACAUGGAGAUCUCUUUCACGUGCCACCCUCCGAGUUACAUGUACUGACUUCACCAUGGCCAUUUUCAGUGUGGGGUAUCGAUAUCAUCUGGAAGAUUUCGCCGAAAUCUUCCAAUGGUCAUGAGUUUAUCCUUGUUGCUAUUGAUUACUUCACCAAGUGGGUGGAGGCCGCUUCGUAUGCGAGAUUGACAUCGUCUGGAGUUGCUAGUUUCAUCAGAUCACACAUUAUUUGUCGCUAUGGAGUCCCUCAUGAGUUGAUGUCGGAUAGAGGGGUACAUUUCAGGGCAGAGGUUGACACCUUGGUGCAGCGAUAUAGCAUCCGACAUCAUAGGUCGUCUGCGUACAGGCCGCAGACGAACGGGGCAGUAGAGGCCGCGAAUAAGAAUAUUAAGAGGAUAUUACGGAGGAUGGUCGAGACUUCUCGGGAUUGGUCAGAGAAGCUCCCAUUUGCAUUGUGGGCUUAUCGGACCUCUUUUCGCACCUCUACAGGCGCCACUCCCUACUCAUUGGUAUAUGGCAUGGAGGCGGUGCUACCCGUUGAGAUCGAGAUGGGUUCGUUGAGGGUAGUAUUAGAGCAGCAGAUUCCCGAGACAGAUUGGGCUCAGGCUAGAUUUGAUCAGCUCAAUCUCCUAGAUGAGAGGAGAUUGAGAGCAGCAGACCAUGUUCGUGCAUAUCAGAGGAAGAUGGCUCGCGCUUUCAAAAAGUGGGUCAGACCCAGACCAUUACAGAUAGGUGACUUGGUUCUGAAAGUCAUCAAGGGAUUGAUCAGAGAUCCUAGAGGGAAGUUCAGACCCAACUGGAGCGGACCUUAUUUCAUCAAGGAGUUGACCCCAAAGGGCGCUGCAUGGCUGAUGGAUUUAGACGGAAACCGAUUCUCAGAGCCAACCAUGUAGAUCAGCUAAAAAGGUACUAUGUUUGAGACCAUGGUUGCAGGAUGGGUGGCCAUCAUUUCGGUUAGCCAUUACCUUGUUAUUCCUUUGUGAUACAUAGUCCGUUGCUAGCCCAUUGAGCCUCACAUGCGUAUUAUAGCUUUUCUUUCUUAUCGCCUUGCUCACAUUUUCACACCGGGAUAGGGGCCCUUUAAUGUAUGCAUGCAUUGUUUGGGAGUUUCAUGAGCCUUGGACCUAGGGGCAUGUUUUUCUCAUUAUCUUUUCCUAUCAUUGCACCUCUGCAUUUUCAUCUCAUUUUAUUGAUUAUGUUAUUCAUCUCUUCUUCCUUAUCCUAUCUACUAUUUGUUUGUUUCAUAUUUCUCUUCACCCUGGAUGGUGAUCCUCCUCAGUUCAUCACAUGGAGGAUAGUCACAUCAUUUCCACCAUCUAUCUCGCGGACACUGGUUUAGAGAUCCUUAGUUUGAGAAGGUCAUCUUGUCAGAAAGUUUGUUUGUUAUCUUAGCACUUGGGGGUGUGUCCAUUUGUUAUUGAUAUCAUCUUAGGGGUUCAUUUGUUCACGUUCAGGGUACGCGUAUUUGCAAAAAAAACAAAAAAAAAAAACAAAAAAAAGAAAAAAAAAAAAAAGAAAAAAACAAAAAAAAAACAAAAAAAAAACAAAAAAAAAAUCAUUAUUAUUAUUAUUAUUAGCACAUGUGUGUAUGUGCAUAGUGUUCUCGAUCAUUGAGUAUGUAUAUUGAUGUCUGUGGGUCAUUUUUAUCGAGUAUGUUCGUUAUUGGGAGUUCGUAUGUGAGCUCUCUGAGAUCCCAUGUUAUUUGUAUUGCUUCGUCAUAUCUAUUUGUGGGAGAAAUGAGUGACCUUCUCCUAAGGACUCUGAGUCAUUGUCCUUUCCAUCAUUACAUUCAUUAUUGAUGUGACUUCACUUCAUGUUUGAUCUGAGCCGAUCACCACCUUUCUUCACAUAUUCGUUGUUUCGCUGUCGCUUUUAUCGUUGCUUGUGAUUCAUCUCAUUCCCUUCACGUCUUAUUCUCUCCUUACAGCGACCCAUCUCGGGUUCGAUGCUCACUUCGCAUCAUCAUUACACAUAUCACUAUCAAUUCAUUUUGCUUCAUUUGUCUCCUUAUCGAUAUCAUAUUUACAUUAGGCAUCCUCAGGUCCAUGGCUCAUGGGGUUCACUAUACAUGUUGCAUUUCAUAUAUGACGGCAUGAGUUUUGAUCAUUGGGUAUUUAAGCCUAGUUUUCUUUCGUUUCUAUCACCCUAUCACCUUGGCCUACGUUACGUCCCGUGUCUUAAGACCACCCUGAGGCCAUGGGAUCAGAUGUCGUCUUUGGCAGCCUCUACUUGGACAGGUGAUUGAGAUCUGGUUGAUAUUUAGAUAUUGUCAUGCUUCUUCUUCUGGGAGUCGCCCAUUUGAUGUGUAGGAUUGAUUCAGUUGUGUUCGGAUUAUCAGGAUCGUGAGUUUGACGAUGAUUGACUUGGUGUCACCUGAUUUUUUUUACCUAUCGUACCUCUGGUGCCACACUGCGGCACAUCCCAUUUCAUUCGGAGGUUUGUGGAUCCUCACAGAUUUGUACGAUCAUUAUCACUUACUGGAUGCUCUCUGAGACGUGGACAUGGUCGUUACCUUACGGAGCCCCUGAGAUCCAUCCAGCUAGUUCCGCACUUCUCGACGCUUGGAUGCCAUCAUGCCUCUCCAUCUGGGAGGUCAUCUUGGAUACAUGUGCAUGAUUCAGUUAUGGAUUCGGAUGACCAGUAUUACAUAUUCAACGAUAGAUGACUUCAUGUCAUGUUGUUCUUCGGGCCUGUCGCGCACCUGAUGCCAUACUGGGGCAUAUUUUCCGUUUCAGAUGAGAUUUAUGGAUCUUCACUUAUGUCGCAUGAUCGAUGAUAGUUGAUUUAAUGUCGCUCGAUUUUCGACCUGUCGUGCAUCCGAUGCCCAUACUGAGGCAUAUUUUCCAUUUCAGAUGUGAUUUACGGAUCUUCACUUAUGUCGCAUGUUCGACGAUAGAUGGUUUCGUGCCACCUAGUUUCUAACCUGUCGUGCAUCCGAUGCCAUACUGGGGCAUAUUUCCGUUUCGGAUGAGAUUUACGGAUCUUCACGGAGGUCACGUGCUAGACGAUAGAUGAUUUCAUGACACUUGUUCUUUUGACCUGUCACACAUCUGAUGCCAUACUGGGGCAUAUUUCCGUUUCGGAUGAGAUUUACGGAUCUUCACGGAGGUCACGUGCUCGACGAUAGAUGAUUUCAUGUCACUUUUUCUUUUGACCCGUCCCACAUCCGAUGCCAUACUGGGGCAUAUUUCCGUUUCGGAUGAGAUUUACGGAUCUUCACGGAGGUCAUGUGCUCAACGAUAAAUGAUUUCAUGUCGCUUUUUCUUUUGACCCGUCCCACAUCCGAUGCCAUACUGGGGCAUAUUUCCGUUUCGGAUGAGAUUUACGGAUCUUCACGAAGGUCACGUGCUCGACAAUAGAUGAUUUCAUGUCGCUUUUUCUUUUGACCCGUCCCACAUUUGAUGCCAUACUGGGGGCAUAUUUCCGUUUUGGGUGAGAUUUACGGAUCUUCACGGAGGUACAUGCUCGAUGAUAGAUGAUUUCAUGUCGGCCGAUUUCUGACUUGUCAUACGUUCGAUGCCAUACUGGGGCAUAUUACCGUUCUGGAUGAGACUUACGGAUCUUCAUGGAGUUGCAUGCUCAUCCCCACUUACGAGAUACACAUGGACACGAUGUUUUCUCCAUGGAGCCUCUCGGGAGUUACCCAGUUAGGCCUGCACUUCGCGACGCCUCGAUGUCAUCAUGCUUUCCUUCCGGGAGACGCCUCUUUUGAUCUAUGGGUCUGAUUCAGUUGUACACGUGGAUGAUUUGGAUCGCGCAUUCGAUGACGGGUGAUCUGAGCUCAUUUGGUUCUUCUGACCUAUCACACAUCCGAUGUCAUACUAGGGCAUACCCCCACCCUUGAGUCCACCAGAUAUUUUGCGAUUAUUCUCAUCACUUGAUCCACAUCUGGAUCUUUGCGAGUCGUCAUACUGGGGCAUACCCCCUUUAGCGUUUUUCGUUUGAGGCAACCCCCCACUGUCAUUUCGUUUGGGGCAACCCCCCGCUGUCAUUUUCGUUUGGGGCAUCCCCCACUGUCAUUUUCGUUUGGGGCAUCCUCCCACUGUCAUUUCGUUUGGGGCAUCCCCCCACUGUCAUCUUCGUUUGGGGCAUCCCUCCGCUGUCAUUUUCGUUUGGGGCAUCCCCCCAUUGUCAUUUACGCUUGGGGCAUCCCCCCACUGUCAUUUUCGUUUGGGGCAUCCCCCCACCGUCAUCUUCGUUUGGGGCAUCCCCCCGCUGUCAUUUUCGUUUGGGGCAUCCCCCCACUGUCUUUUCGUUUGGGGCAUCCCCCCACUGUCUUUUCGUUUAGGGCAUCCCCCUACUGUCAUUGCUUAGGGCAUCCCCCUAUUUUCAGUUUGUUUAGUUUGUUUAGGGCAUCCCCCUUUGUUUCGGAUUUACCACCACCAUAGAUUUUCAUCUAUGGGCAUUUCGGUUAUUUCACCACCAUAGAUUUUCAUCUAUGGGCAUUUUUAUUGUGUCACCACCAUACAUCGGGCAUCUAUGGGCUUUGUUUCAGUUUAUCACCACCAUAGAUUUUCAUCUAUGGGCAUUUCGGUUAUUUCACCACCAUGGAUUUUCAUCCUUGGGCUUUCGGGAUUUUCACCACCAUAGAUUUUCAUCUAUGGACUUUGAUCAGUUUUUCACCAUCAUAGAUCAGACAUCUAUGGGCUUUGUUUCAGUUAUAUCACCACCAUGGAUCAGACAUCUAUGGGCUUUGAUCAGUUUUUCACCCUCAUAGAUUUUCAUCUAUGAGCAUUUAUUUCAGUUAUUUCACCACCAUGGAUUUUCAUCCUUGGGCUUCCGAGAUUAUCACCACCAUAGAUCAGACAUCUAUGGGCUUUGAUCAGUUUUUCACCAUCAUAGAUUUUCAUCUAUGAGCAUUUAUUUCAGUUAUUUCACCACCAUGGAUUUUCAUCCUUGGGCUUCCGAGAUUAUCACUACCAUAGAUCAGACAUCUAUGGGCUUUGCUCAGUUUAUCACCACCAUGGAUUUUCAUCCUUGGGCUUUCAGUUAUUUCACCACCAUAGAUCGGGCAUCUAUGGACAUUUUUAUUAUAUCACCACCGUAGGUCUUCACCUAUGAGCCUUCCAGUUUAGCUUUUAGAGUUAGCUUUUUGGUUUGGCUUCCAGAGCUGUUAUUUCCUAGUUUAGCUUUUAGAGUUAGCUCUUUGGUUUGGCUUCCAGAGCUGUUACUUUCUAGUUUAGCUCUUUGGUUUGGCUUCCAGAGCUGUUAUUUUCUAGUUUAGCUUUUAGAGUUAGCUUUUUGGUUUGGCUUCCAGAGCUGUUAUUUUCUAGUUUAGCUUUUAGAGUUAGCUCUUUGGUUUGGCUUCCAGAGCUAUUACUUUCUAGUUUAGCUUUUUGGUUUGGCUUCCAGAGCUGUUACUUUAUAGUUUAGCUUUUUGGUUUGGCUUCCAGAGCUGUUAUUUCCUCGUUUAGCUUUUAGAGUUAGUUUUUUUUGUUUGGCUUCCAGAGCCAUUAUUCUUCCAAUUUAGUGUUUAGAGUUAGCUUUUUGAUUUGGCUUCCAAAACUAUUAUUUUCUCAGUUUCGGCGUUUAGAGCCAUCAUCACUUUUUAGUUUCGGCGUUCAGAGCCAUCACCGUGUUUUCAGUUCGAUGUUUAGAGCCAUCAUUGGUUUUCAGAUCGACAUUCAGAGUCGCAUCCUCGGUUUCGACGUUUAGAGUCGUUAUCACUUCUCAGUUUGACGUUCAGAGUCAUCAUCAUCACUUUUUAGUUUCGCGUUCAGAGUCAUCACUGUGUUUUCAGUUCGGUGUUCAGAGCCAUCAUUGGUUUUCAGAUCGACAUUCAGAGUCGCAUCCUCGGUUUCGACAUUUAGAGUCGUUAUCACUUCUCAGUUUGACGUUCAGAGUCAUCAUCAUCACUUCUCAACUGCGGCGUUCAGAGCCAUCAUCACUUCUUAGUUUUGGCGUUCAGAGCCAUCACCGUGUUUUCAAUUCAGCGUUCAGAGCCAUCAUCGGUUUUCAGAUCGACAUUCGGAGUCGCUUCUCAGUUUCGGCGUUCAGAGUCAUCAUCGUCACUUCUCGGUUUCGGCGUUCAGAGCCAUCAUUACUUUUUAGUUUCGGCGUUCAAAGCCAUCACCGUGUUUUCAGUUUGGUGUUCAGAGCCAUCAUUGGUUUUCAGAUCGACAUUCAGAGUCGCACCCUCGGUUUCGACGUUUAGAGUCGUUAUCACUUCUCAGUUUGACGUUCAGAGUCAUCAUCAUCACUUCUCGACUUCGGCAUUUAGAGCCAUCAUCACUUUUUAGUUUCAGCAUUCAGAGCCAUCACCGUAUUUUCAGUUCGGCGUUCAGAGCCAUCAACGGUUUUCAGAUCGACAUUCGGAGUCGCUUCUCAGUUUGACGUUCAGAGUCAUCAUCGUCACUUCUCGAUUUCAGCGUUUAGAGUCAUCAUCGCUUCUCAACAUCAGCGUUCAGAGCCAUCACUAUUUUCAGUUUGGCGUGCAGAGCCUUCAUCACUUCUCAGUUUUUGCGUUCAGAGCCAUCAUCGCUUUUCAGUUUUGGCGUUCAGAGCCAUCACUAUUUUCAGUUUUGGCGUUCAGAGCCAUCAUCGCUUUUCAGUAUUGGUGUUCCGAGCCAUCAUUAUUUUCAGUUUGGCGUUCAGACCCAUCAUCACUAUUUUCAGUGUGGCAUUCAUAGCCAUCACUAUUUUCAGUUUGGCGUUCAUCAUCACUUCUCAGUCAACGUUCAGAGCCAUCGACAUUUCCUGUCUCGGCGUUCGGAGCCAUCAUCACUCAUCCGUUUCGACGUUUAGAGCCAUCACCAUUUCCAGUUUCGACGGUCAAAUCCAUCGUCAUUCUCUGUUUCGACGUUCAGAGUCAUCAUCGCUCCUCCGUUUCGAUGUUCAUCUAUUUUCAAUUUCGUUGUUCAGAGCCACCACCUCUUUCCAGUUUGGCAUUCAGAGCCACAUUUGCAUUUAGGCGUUUAGAGCCGUUAGUCAUUCUCGGUGUGAUGCUCGAAGUCGUACUCUCAUAUCCACAUCCACAGUCAUCACCAUUUUUUCUUUAGCUUUGGCAUUUAGAGCCACUUUUCAUACCCAUUCAUGUUUCAUACCCAUUCAUGCAUUUUGAUCCACUAUCUUUAGUUUUUGGCGUUCAAAGCCAUCCUUCAUGCCCACUCAUGCGUUUUAGAGUCACUUUCUCUCUUAGUUUUGGCGUUCGGAGCCAUUUUUCAUACUCAUUCAGGCAUUCGAUGCCACCAUCUUUCUUUAGUUUGGCGUCCAGAGCCAUUAUACAUAUCCCUUCAGGCACCUUGAGUCAUCACCUUUUCGUGUUUUGACCUUUGGAGUCAUUUCUCCUCAGCCUUGUCAUUCAAAGUCCACAUUCAUGUUCACCGGCAUUGCACAUCUUACCUUCAUGGCUUUGUGUUCGUCCUUGGUUUUUCCUCACCUUGUCACCUUGUGCUUAUCACUUAUUCAUUAUGCUCUUCUAGUUUUCCCCUCCUUUUACCUUCAGUUCGUCUAGGGCAUUCCCCACUUUCAGUAUGCCUAGGGCAUUCCCCUACUUUUAGUUUAUUUAGGGCAUCCCCCUAUUGUUAGUUCACUUAUGAGAUUUCUAGUCUAGCAUUUUAGAGUUAGCUUUUUGGGUUUGGCUUCCAGAGCCAUUAUUUUCUCAGGUUAGCAUUUAGGGUCAGUCUUGUCUUUCAGAGCCACAGUUCCUGACAUUUAUGAUCACUAGCGUUACAUGCUUCAUUCUCACAGUUUCAUGUUUCAUCUUGCUCCCCUGAGUUGCAUAUGUGCUUCUCACUUCGCUGUGAUAUUCUAGAGUUUCCUCUCGUCUUUUGUGCAGGAUAUAGUUCUAUGAGCUCGUGCCAUGUGCCUUGAUUGUAUUGUAAGAUACUCCACGCCUUGUGUCCUCCUGUGAUACACGCAUGUUUCAUUCCCUUUGGUCACGUCCUCCCCUGUGCUCUAGGGUGGUCCGAUCGUUGCCCACUUCGACAUUGGUUCUUCGAGUCACCUGUAGAGACGUCUUAGAGGGGGUCUGGGUCCUCGAUGCAGCUUUAGAGGCGCCUUGAGCCUCUUAGAAUUUUAGAGCCUCGAGUGAGAGUGUGUUCUACUUGUACCUUUCGGGUUCGGGGGUCUUUCUUUGUUCUUCGAUAGAGUUCACUUCAUUUCACUCACUUUUCACACUUUCUUUUCAUUCCAGUAUUCAUAUUCCUUGCACUCGUGAACUCUACCGAAGAGGGGCAUAUUUGUAGACCCCCUCAGCUGGGGGGCAUUGGUUGUUUUUUAUUUUUAUUUUUAUUCAUUUUUUUCUUCUUCUUUUCUGCUUUUUUAUCCAGCCAAGGACGGCUGGAAGUGAAAGGAGGGAGAAGGAGCUAUCCUUAGGCGGCUGUAGGGGACAUGUAGCAGCAGGCAGGAUGGCUUGCUGAGGAAGAUACAAACAGAGAAAAAAAAAAAAGAAAAGGGGAGAUCUGGGGGGGGGGGAGAAAAAGAAGAGGGAGAGAAGGCGCUGCAGGUGGCGAGGGGAUUUUCCGAGAGAGGAGCUUGCCCGAGGAAGAAAGAGCGCAGGUAUGGUUUCUAUUCAGCUGGACCUCUUUGCUUCCAUACCAUUUUGUUAUGAUUUCUGGGUUUGCUAGUUUGUCUUCCUUUUAUUUAUCCUGAUGUAUGAAUGCGAGCAUUGUGGAUUUUAUUAUGUUCUUGGAUGUUCUCGGAUGUUUUGAGCCAGCAUGCCUUCAUUUUAUGGUUGAUUUUUAGCUUGGUUUUCAGUAUAUUUUCGGGGUUCUAUUUUGGCACUCAUGCUCUUGGAGAUGAAAAUCUCUGGUCCAGAAGCUCUCUACCAGCUUAUAUCAUGGAUGCCCCAGCAUCAGGUCACUGUUCAUCUGGACUGUUUUGGACCAUUUCUUGCAGAGAACGAUCCGGAAAGAAGUUGAGCUUGCUGCUGGUAUUCCCUGAUUGUACGCGAGGCUCGCAUGCAUGGCCACAUGAAGCAUUACACCUCCCACCUCCUCCAUCAUCCUCACCCAUUUUCUCUCCAAACUCUCCACCCCUUUCAUGUCUACCAGUCACCAUGCAUGCAAAACUAGACGUGGAAGCCAAGAUAGUUGAGCCAGGGAUGAAUGUUGGUCGCGAAGGCUACACAAAUGGCGGAGCUCCAAACGGUACGCGCCAAUGAC
This 20268-nucleotide long non-coding RNA is filed under the name Vitis vinifera (wine grape). Its description in RNAcentral is "long non-coding RNA (VVIN_LNC003183)". Lineage: Eukaryota; Viridiplantae; Streptophyta; Magnoliopsida; Vitales; Vitaceae. The record is from RNAcentral.